RNAcentral lists this ribosomal RNA (254 nucleotides) under uncultured bacterium. RNAcentral's name for it is "partial 16S ribosomal RNA". It matches the Rfam family "Bacterial small subunit ribosomal RNA", at positions 524 to 776 of the family's 1533-position model. The record is from RNAcentral.
UACGGAGGGGGCUAGCGUUGUUCGGAAUUACCGGGCGUAAAGCGCGCGCAGGCGGCCUUUUAAGUCUGACGGUGAAAUGCCGGGGCUCAACCCCGUGCCCGCCGGAGAUACUGGGAGGCUGGAGACGAGUAGAGGCAAGCGGAAUUCCGGGUGUAGCGGUGGAAUGCGUAGAGAUCCGGAAGAACACCGGAGGCGAAGGCGGCUUGCUGGGCUCGGUCUGACGCUGAGGCGCGAAAGCGUGGGGAGCGAACAGG